UCGGGAAUUUUGGGCAAUGGGCGAAAGCCUGACCCAGCAACGCCGCGUGAAGGAUGAAGUAUUUCGGUAUGUAAACUUCGAAAGAAUAGGAAGAAUAAAUGACGGUACUAUUUAUAAGGUCCGGCUAACUACGUGCCAGCAGCCGCGGUAAUACGUAGGGACCAAGCGUUGUUCGGAUUUACUGGGCGUAAAGGGCGCGUAGGCGGCAAUUCAAGUCAUCUGUGAAAUCUCCGGGCUUAACUCGGAACGGUCAGAUGAUACUGCUUUGCUAGAGUGCAGAAGGGGCAAUCGGAAUUCUUGGUGUAGCGGUGAAAUGCGUAGAUAUCGGAAGGAAUACCGGUGGCGAAGGCGUCUUCCUGGACUCUAACUGACACUGAGGCGCGAAAGCAUGGGGAUCAAACAGGAUUAGAUACCCUGGUAGUCCCUGAGCGGGCUGGCAAGGCGCAU
Molecule: ribosomal RNA, 447 nt
Filed under: uncultured bacterium
Lineage: Bacteria
Description: bacterial SSU rRNA
Rfam family: Bacterial small subunit ribosomal RNA
Source: RNAcentral